UACAAGAUGCUCAGCAUAUUCCUUCCCUCCAUAAGCCUUCAACGGCCUUGGUAAUUCAAACCUGCCGCGCCCACACAUUGCACAACUUGAUCAAGACUGAUCCGAGUGAUGGCUGGACCGGAUGGGAUGUACGGACGCUGUACGGCCUUGAGGUCCGUACACUCGUCCUAUGCCUUCAUCCAACUUCCUUCUAUGGUUAACCCUUACAAAUAGCAUCAGAUAACAAUAGGAUUGAACUUAGACAGUAUGAGAUACCUUCUUGGAUCACCUUAGGCCGUACCAUGGCCGUACCGAACGCCCUAUCUUUGCACCAUACUUCGAUUAUGUAUGCAAAAUAACUUACCAAUCAUGAUGCAAGCAGCAGAGACAUUCUACUCAAUUCUACAACACAUUCAUGAUGAUUCAAGCUAUGACAACACCUUCAGAACACUUCUGAAGCUUGGUUGAACUCUUCUAGACAUCUUCUAGAGCUUGCCCUAUUCUUGUACAAGCUCCAUCUUCUCUUCAGUUUUACUUACUAUCAAUAUGACAAUGCAACAGCAAAACAAUUUCAGUGCAAUUAGCCUAGACAUACUACUAGAAGCUAUAAACACUUAAUGGAAUUAGGGAAAGCACAUAGUAUAAUCAGGAGUUAAACCUAUCAAGACAUAUUAAGAUAGAUGAGAUUAGGUUUACUCCCUUGGUUAAGAUGAUGAGGAGUGGUUCUCAGAGUUACCACUUGAAUCCUUACUUCUUCUUCUUCUCUUAUUGCAAUCACCCUUCUGAAGUCACCACCAUGAUGGAAUGCUUGUGGAUGCUUCAGCUACUUCUUCAAUCACCUCACAAUAGAAGCCGCCUUGAUAGAGUAGCCUUCUUCUUCACACAGCCAAGAGUGCUCUGUCUUAGUUUGAGCACCCUCUUGAAUAGGCACGCCACUGCCUAGACCCGGUUGGCUUCUUCUUCUGAUACUUGCAAUGUUAAGAAGAAGAGCACGAGUGAGUUUUACAACCAUCUGUGCUUCUCCCUUUCUUGUAACACCUCUCCAUUGUACACACAAUGGGCAUCAUUCUUUCUCUUUCAACUCGGAUUUGAUGAUGAACUAGGAGCACCUUUUGUGAACCUGAAACAUCACUCAAACUCUAGCCAAGAUAAGACACAAUUGCAUUGGGAUCAAUCCUUGACUUCAUCAAGUUUGAUCACCAAUGUCUCAAGCUUUAUAACAUUAGAUAGAAUCAAGACAAUGUCAAGUUCUUAUCUAUGCAAGCAACCAUUCUCUAAAUACUAAGCAAGACCUUAUCAGAUUCAAGUCAAAGUAUUUAGGCAAUUUUAAUCACUCCUUAAUAUGCAACUUAGACUUUAAUCUAAAUGCAACAAUCCAAAGCAGCAACAAGGCAGUAUGCAUUAAUCUUAACAGUUUCUAACACAUGAAAGCAAGAAUGAUUAGAUAUAAUCUAUCAUCUUAACAAGACAAGUUAAUUUAGAGCUGUCAUUAAGCAUUUACCAUUUUCAAUAGUAUUGAUGUCAAAACUUGAUUAAUAAAUCAUCAAGUUUGAUUCCCAAUAACACAAGCAAUGCAACAGAUAGACACAAGGCAUUAUCAAGUUCUAUUCUUUGCAAGCUAGCUCUCUAAGAACAAUCAAGAUCCUAACAGAUUCAAGACAAGUUACUUAGGCAUUUUUAAAAGCUUCUUUACUCAGCAAUUUAGACAUGAAUCUAAUGCCUCAAUGGAAGACAGCCACAAGACUAUAUGCAACAGCUUUCAAUUCCGUUUCAAUCCAUGUAUGCAAGCAGAUUCAAUUAAUCACAACAAGCAUCACUAUGAUUCGGAGCUAAGCAUAUUAACAAUCUUAAUCACCAAACCAGGCUCUUUAAGCAUACUGAGACAGAUUCUAAAAGUAUUCAUUUAGCAAUCUUUAAACAAUUCUCAGGUUUUCAAUCACAUCACAACCAGUCAAUAUACUCAAGCUUUAUACAAGAGAAAGAGGUUUCUUACAGCCAAGGAACUAGUGUUAGUUCCUUGAAACUCCAUAGAACAUGGCAAGACAGUGAGCUGUUGGUGUCGAUUCCAACUUCUCCUUCUCCCAUGGACCUUUCUCUUGAACUCUCCAUGUCAAAGACCCCACCUUUCUUCAUGUUAAGUUCGCCACAUCAGUACCAGCUGAAAGCUAUCACCUUUCUUCUUGGACAGUGGAUAAGACCUAGCUUGGACAUAGCUUUGAAGCUUGGUUGAUGAGAUCGCCUCAUACACCAUUGCUUCCAAGGUUCUUUCUUCUUCAUGGGCUUCAUGAGAGAGUGUAGGUCGGCCAGAGACAGCUUCUGGACACCAUGGAUGAGCACACCUUCUUCUUGAAGAGUAGAACAACCGGCUGGACCAUGGAGCUUCUUCUUGGCUUCAAGCGACAUGGAGGAGAGCUAUGAGCUUCAGCAGAAGCAAGAACCAAGUUCUAAUGAACCUGGCUCUGAUACCAUAUGAUUUUUAAAGAGAUCUCUACUCUGGUUGUGUGUAUGUGUGUAUAAACUCCAAUGGAGAAAGAUGAGAGCUUAGUUCUAGGUGAUUUAAGAACAGAGAUGGGUGAGAGUGUUUAAGUGUUUAAGAGACUAAAGAGAAUGAGAUUAAGAGACUGAGAGACUAGAGAGAGACUGAGAGAAUAAGAGACUGAAGAUUAGGGAAGGAGAAGGGAAACCCCCUUACUCACUUAGUUCUUUUACAAACGACAUUGCUUAGCUUAUAUAUGAGCUUUACACAACUCAGAUCAUAAACCUAGAUCCUAAGGCUGUAAAUACAAACUAGAAUGGAUGGUCAGGAUGAGAGAAGACUGGUCUUGAUGUCCUGGUUCUUAGCUGGCGACUUGAUCCAAUGUAAAGGGCUUAGAUUGCUUCAUUUGAAUUGAAUGGAUAGGAUGAGUCAAGGCUGUAAAGGUAAAGCACCUUUACCUUUCCAGCUCAUACCAACAGCUCACCUUAUCCAUUUGAAUCUUCCCUUGCCUCCAAGAGUUUCCAACGGUCACAUGAUUCAACCUAAGUCGCGCCCACACAUUGUACAACUUGGGCAAGGCUGAUCCGGGUGAUGGCCGAACUGGAUAGUUUGUACGGACGCUGUACGGCCUUGAGGUCCGUACACUCGCCCUAUGCCUUCAUCCAACUUCCUUCUAAGGUUGACCCUUACACCUUCUUGGAUCACCCUAGGCCGUACCAUGGCCGUACUGAACGCCCUAUCUUUGCACCAUACUUCCAUCUUC
RNAcentral lists this long non-coding RNA (3218 nucleotides) under Brassica napus (rape). RNAcentral describes it as "long non-coding RNA (BNAP_LNC008737)". The record is from RNAcentral. Lineage: Eukaryota; Viridiplantae; Streptophyta; Magnoliopsida; Brassicales; Brassicaceae.